Molecule: long non-coding RNA, 375 nt
Filed under: Elaeis guineensis (African oil palm)
Lineage: Eukaryota; Viridiplantae; Streptophyta; Magnoliopsida; Arecales; Arecaceae
Description: long non-coding RNA (EGUI_LNC018952)
Source: RNAcentral
AUACUAUGAUGAUGCUAUUACUUGACAUAAUUAGAAGAGUGGUAAUCUUUUUUAUUUUUAAUAUGGUAUGUGUUGGGAGAAAUUUUAUCUAGACCAAAGAUAAGAAGAGAUCGGAGGCCUAGUAUGGUAAUAAUUUAACCAGCCCACUGUCAGUGCUACAAGGCCUCCAUUAGCUAUGCUGCCCUGUGUAUUUUAUUAAUUGUCAUUAUGCAUUGUCUACUAUGCAUAUGCUAUUAGAAUUGCCCUGGGUCAUCUAAACCUAGGAAAGGCAUUAAUUGCCUCCCUCCCUCUCGUCCCAUCCUCCCAAGGGGAUCACAACAAGACAAAAGGAAGAGAGGAAGAGAUGGAGGACAGAAAAAAUAUGGUAGGAGAGGA